CCUACGGGGGGCAGCAGUGAGGAAUAUUGGUCAAUGGGCGCGAGCCUGAACCAGCCAAGUAGCGUGAAGGAUGACUGCCCUACGGGUUGUAAACUUCUUUUAUAAAGGAAUAAAGUGAGGCACGUGUGCCUUUUUGUAUGUACUUUAUGAAUAAGGAUCGGCUAACUCCGUGCCAGCAGCCGCGGUAAUACGGAGGAUCCGAGCGUUAUCCGGAUUUAUUGGGUUUAAAGGGAGCGUAGAAGGGUUGUUAAGUCAGUUGUGAAAGUUUGCGGCUCAACCGGAAAAUUGCAUUUGAUACUGGCAGCCUUGUGUCCCGUUGAGGUCGGCGGAAUUCGUGGUGUAGCGGU
RNAcentral lists this ribosomal RNA (347 nucleotides) under uncultured bacterium. RNAcentral describes it as "partial 16S ribosomal RNA". It matches the Rfam family "Bacterial small subunit ribosomal RNA", at positions 338 to 682 of the family's 1533-position model. The record is from RNAcentral.